ACCGUAAACCAAAGAAAACCUAGCAACCAUUGCCUCUCUCACGGAGCAAUUAAGAACCAACCUCUCCCCUUCCCUCUUCCUAUCUCUCUUCAGCUCAACGACAACUUCAUAGUACCAUAAACUCUCUCUUUCUCUCUCUCAAUGGCACGAUAGAAUCACCCCACCCACGAUCAGCACAUAUCCACCCAACAGAUGUCGCCUCUAAAGAUGAAGAACCCCCAUAGAUGUUGCAUUUGAAGACGAAGCGACCAAAGGUAUUUUUAUAACCUCUCACUGUGAUGCUUGUAGGCUUUGAAAUCUUAAUUACUCCAUGAACAAUCACAGAUGUGAAAUUUAAUUUCUGUGAAUGGUUGUAUUUGUAGUGGGGCUAAAGUUUAGGUCAGGACUGGGGAUCUAAAGCUAAAGAUGAUCUCUUGACUACGAUAUGACAAUAUAAACUAAGGGUAAGGCAGCAGCAAGGAGAAGACCAAGACCCACUACAACCAUGCUUGAUUGAUGGAUUCAAGCAUUCUAUUUUGUUUAUUUUUUUUUCUAUCACCACCUACUUGGUUAUAUGAAAGAUUAUCUAUUUGGUAGUAUGGAUGACAGAAAUAACUUUAAUAUUUUGGAUAGUUAAGUACC
Humulus lupulus (European hop) is the source of this 621-nucleotide long non-coding RNA. RefSeq lists it as uncharacterized. The record is from RefSeq and is a predicted model, not a curated record. The transcript has 2 exons. Lineage: Eukaryota; Viridiplantae; Streptophyta; Magnoliopsida; Rosales; Cannabaceae.